Cavia porcellus (domestic guinea pig) is the source of this 388-nucleotide long non-coding RNA. RefSeq lists it as uncharacterized. The transcript has 4 exons. Lineage: Eukaryota; Metazoa; Chordata; Mammalia; Rodentia; Caviidae. The record is from RefSeq and is a predicted model, not a curated record.
UGCAGGAGAACAAAACAACUUAUAAAAUGAUUUUCAGGCGUGAAUGUAUUUCUUUGAGUUUACCUUGUUACUUGCAUUGUUUAUACCAUGGACUUUGCUCUUCUGCUCAUGUUUUGAUAAGAUAUUUCAACACUUCAAAGAUGAUAUAGCACACCGUUUGCAAACUAGAGGAUGAUAAGGUUUCACGCAGGCAGCAGAGCCCAUGAUUAUUUCUGCACCCCAACAUGUAAUUAUGGAGGUAUUUACUGGAACCUGAGCCCACAAUUCUCUGAAUCCAUGACUAAUGCAAGUCAGAACCAAGUUUAUUGGAUAAAAAGAAAAAAGAGGAGGAAAAAAAGAAGAUGGAGAAGAAGAAAAAGAAGAAGCAGAAGAGAAAGCAGAAGAAAAA